Molecule: long non-coding RNA, 156 nt
Organism: Juglans microcarpa x Juglans regia
Lineage: Eukaryota; Viridiplantae; Streptophyta; Magnoliopsida; Fagales; Juglandaceae
Exons: 3
Source: RefSeq, a predicted model, not a curated record
UCUAAAUUUGAAACUUUGAAAAAAUAUGUUUAAAGCCCCAUAAACUCUAAUAAAAGUGGCUGUCGAAGCUUCACAAUUAAAAUUUUUACAAGCUGCUCGUGUCUGUCAACUGAAACAGAACAAGGCCCUUUAAAACCCCGAAUUCCACACUCAAUC